RNAcentral lists this ribosomal RNA (200 nucleotides) under uncultured bacterium. Its description in RNAcentral is "partial 16S ribosomal RNA". It matches the Rfam family "Bacterial small subunit ribosomal RNA", at positions 8 to 205 of the family's 1533-position model. The record is from RNAcentral.
AGAGUUUGAUCCUGGCUCAGAGCGAACGUUAGCGGCGGGCCUAACACAUGCAAGUCGAGCGAGAACGGGGCUUCGGCUCCUAGUAAAGCGGCGGACGGGUGAGUAAUGCGUAGGUAAUCUUCCCUCGAGCGGGGGACAACGUUCCGAAAGGGACGCUAAUACCGCAUACGUUCUCCGAGACUCCGGUCUUGGAGAGGAAA